Cydia pomonella (codling moth) is the source of this 2526-nucleotide long non-coding RNA. RefSeq lists it as uncharacterized. The record is from RefSeq and is a predicted model, not a curated record. The transcript has 2 exons. Lineage: Eukaryota; Metazoa; Arthropoda; Insecta; Lepidoptera; Tortricidae.
UGUUUGAACUCAACCUAAUAUAUAUGUAUGUAUAUGCAGUUUGUUCUGUACUCUGUUGGUACUAUAAGGCAAAAAGUGCUUAAAGCCUGACCAGUAAUAUAUGAUCACACGCCAUAUUGCGGAAUUUCAUUGGAACUAUUUUUUUUCAUACUAAACUGAACUGUCGCCUUAUACAUGAGAAUAACAGCGCCCUCUUGACAAUGAUCAUAUAUUUCUGGUCGCUUUAUAAUAAUAAUAAAAUUGAGAGCGCACUAGUCGCCAACAAACUGUCUUCAGUUUGGCGAAACUUUUGUAUAUUUAACUUUUGUAUGUUGUGUCGUUGUCUAAGUACCCUCAACACAAGCCUUAUUGAGCUUACUGUGGGACUUAGUCAAUUUGUGUAAUAAUGUCCUAUAAUAUUUAUUUAUUUAUUUAUUGUCAUAAUUAAAUAAAUACAUUAAAAAUUUAUUUAAUUAUUAAAGGCGGUAAAUAAAAAUAUACGAACGAGUCUGAAUUGAAGAUCGAAGCCAAAGGCGGGAGCAAAAUUAACACGAGUCCGUAAUUCAUGUACCUAAUACCUCCCGUUUCACGCACAAAGUUUUUAAUCACACUUGUGUGGAAAAAGGGAAAUAAAUAAAACUUCUGCCUAAUUUAGUAUGAACAUCAUAGCCCUAGGUCAAAAUUUACGAUUUACGGACCGCAUUACCUACGUGUACACCUUUUACGAGCAUGAUUGAUGAAAAUGAAGUCAAUAAAAGUGUGUUAAUAAUAAAAACGUUGUUGAAUGUGAUGCGGGCCAGAAACUAUCAGAGCCUAUUAAUGGUAAUACUUUUAAUGAGAUUAUAGUGGUUGGAUCUCAUUAUAUGAGUAAACAUUGCUCUGAAUAUAGUAAUAUUUCGUAAUAGACUCGCUUUGACGGUCUUGUAUGCAUUAAUCCGCUCAUGAAUCUCACUGUGGAUUGAAAAGUAUAGGUCAAAUUAAACAUUGUAUCAAUCGCAUGUAGUUAGGUAUAUUAUUUUUUACCCAUUCAGGAUAAAAAAGACAUAUUUACUUGUCUACGUCUCUACAUCUUACGCUUCCUUCACUUUCAUAACGUUCCUCAUACACGCUCGCCGUUUUACGGUGCUCUUGACCUGGAAUUUCUUCAGGAUUUUCACGGUUUGAUCAGAGAAAGUCCGCCGAGCUUUACUCCUUCCAGCUCCCUCUUUUACUUCUCCCUUAUACACCCUCUUUGUUAGCCUUCUUUCACUUAUUCUUUUAACAGUACAUCUUCUUUCAGUUAACACUUUUCCCUUAUCACACUGUUCCUAAUUCUAUCCUGUAAUCUCACACCAUACACACUUCUCAACGCUCUUCAUUUCCACUGCAUUCACUUGGCUCUAAUACCUAUUCUGCCAUACCCAACUUUCGCUACCAAACAUAAGUGUAGGAACCAAUACCCUUCAAUGCCUACCUAUAUACCUACCUACAUACAUAUUUACAGUAAUAUUGAAAAUCAUCUACCUAUGGGUAGUAUGAAUUUGGUGAAAUGUUUUCUUUUUCGGCUAGGGCUUAUCUGUUAAACAAAAGUCUAUGUUUCUUCUAUGCAGCGGUUACCAAUGCUACCGCUACUGAUGGCAGCAAACUCGUUUAAAAAGAAAAGAAAUUCUACCGACCUAUUUAUAAUAUAGUUCAAAUUCGUGUAACAGCUCAUUCUGUUACCUGACAUGCCACACAAGAGCGACCGAUCGCCCUACAUUACCCAAACUCAUUCUGAGAAUGAGCUGUUACAUAAAUUUGAACUUUAAUACUAUAACGGUAGUUGCGUUUAACGACAUGGUUGCUUUGGCAUGCGCCUAAGACGCAUAUCCAUAAAAGAAACAAAAGCUUUUGUUUAACAGACUACAGAUGUUAAGAAAAAGCCUUAAAAAUCAUUUUAAAGACAAAAAAACAUUUUAGUUAAUUCGUACUAUAAAUAGCUAAGUGUAUUUAUGAUGCUCUCAUAUUUUUAAAGUAUGAUUUUAAUUAUCACCAUUCAAUAAAAAUAUAAGACAUCAACUCAUUAAAAUAAACAGGAUAAAUAUAAACAUAAACAAAUAAACAGGUAAUUUUUUUUUUAAUCCAAACCUCUUAUAGAUUCCGCUUAGCAGUGUAAGUAUCACGAACAAUUACAAAAAGAGCUCAAGAUUAAAAAUCGUUUCGAGAAUUACCAAUUUGCUGAAACUCCAGCUAUUCUUUUAUUUCAGAAAAACAAUACAGCCGGUAGGAAUCCGCAAUCUCGCUACAGAUAAAGAGUGGUUUAAAAGAAAAACUGUUAAAGGAAUCAGCGAAAUCCUAACGAUAAACAGAAAGGAAAUGUCUUAAGAGAUAUUUAUCGGUUAAAUAUUCGCCACGAAGCACUGCGAGCUCAUAAAAUGGAAGAAAGAAUGCUGUCCCGAGACUAGUGAUAACAUAGGGCAUAUUCCCGGGAAUCUUCGCGUUUUAAAAAAAUCGAAUAACAAGAGAACCUACUCGUAAUCUAAAUGUUGUUAUUUGGUUCAUGUAAAUAUUACAUUAUUUGUAUCAUGA